UGACCCACUGCACAUCUGUCCUACCUUGU
RNAcentral lists this non-coding RNA (29 nucleotides) under Mus musculus (house mouse). The record is from RNAcentral. Lineage: Eukaryota; Metazoa; Chordata; Mammalia; Rodentia; Muridae.